Molecule: long non-coding RNA, 301 nt
Filed under: Medicago truncatula (barrel medic)
Lineage: Eukaryota; Viridiplantae; Streptophyta; Magnoliopsida; Fabales; Fabaceae
Description: long non-coding RNA (MTRU_LNC008354)
Source: RNAcentral
GGCGUUAACCGACUUAAAAAUGGCACAAUUAGUUGCACAAUCAUAAUCAACUUUUGAUGUUUUUUGAGUACAUAACAAUUCACAGGUAACAACACAAACGGCAUAAUGUUUUAUAUUGCCUUUACAUUUAAAGGGACACUUCAAAGCACAAACUGCUCUUUUGAAUGACUCUUCAUGUGCAGAAUCGUUAGCCUGUGCCACAACUAUCAUCAUCAUCACAAAAAUUAAAACAAUCUCUUUCCUCUCACUCCUUCCCAUACCUUUUCUCUAUAUUAUGCUUUAUUUUCCUGUAGUAUAUAAU